RNAcentral lists this ribosomal RNA (305 nucleotides) under uncultured bacterium. Its description in RNAcentral is "bacterial SSU rRNA". It matches the Rfam family "Bacterial small subunit ribosomal RNA", at positions 335 to 637 of the family's 1533-position model. The record is from RNAcentral.
AUGCCUACGGGGGGCAGCAGUGAGGAAUAUUGGUCAAUGGGCGGGAGCCUGAACCAGCCAAGCCGCGUGAAGGAAGAAGGCGCCAGGCGUCGUAAACUUCUUUUGUCGGGGAACAAAGGGCGCCACGUGUGGCGUUGUGAGUGUACCCGAAGAAAAAGCAUCGGCUAACUCCGUGCCAGCAGCCGCGGUAAUACGGAGGAUGCGAGCGUUAUCCGGAUUUACUGGGUGUAAAGGGAGCGCAGGCGGCACGGCAAGCCUGAUGUGAAAGCCCGCGGCCCAACCGCGGGACUGCAUUGGGAACUACC